This 443-nucleotide ribosomal RNA is filed under the name uncultured bacterium. RNAcentral's name for it is "partial 16S ribosomal RNA". It matches the Rfam family "Bacterial small subunit ribosomal RNA", at positions 338 to 795 of the family's 1533-position model. The record is from RNAcentral.
CCUACGGGUGGCAGCAGUGGGGAAUAUUGGGCAAUGGGCGCAAGCCUGACCCAGCAACGCCGCGUGAAGGAAGAAGGCCUUCGGGUUGUAAACUUCUUUUCUCAGGGACGAAGCAAGUGACGGUACCUGAGGACUAAGCCACGGCUAACUACGUGCCAGCAGCCGCGGUAAUACGUAGGUGGCAAGCGUUAUCCGGAUUUACUGGGUGUAGAGGGCGGGUAGGCGGGAAAGCAAGUCAGAUGUGAAAACCAUGGGCUCAACCUGUGGCCUGCAUUUGAAACUGUUUUUCUUGAGUACUGGAGAGGCAGACGGAAUUCCUGGUGUAGCGGUGAAAUGCGUAGAUAUUAGGAGGAACACCAGUGGCGAAGGCGGUCUGCUGGACAGCAACUGACGCUGAGGCGCGAAAGCGUGGGGAGCAAACAGGAUUAGAUACCCCAGUAGUC